Molecule: ribosomal RNA, 366 nt
Filed under: uncultured bacterium
Lineage: Bacteria
Description: bacterial SSU rRNA
Rfam family: Bacterial small subunit ribosomal RNA
Source: RNAcentral
AACGAACGCUGGCGGCAUGCCUAACACAUGCAAGUCGAACGGACGGUAGCAAUACCGUUAGUGGCGGACGGGUGAGUAACGCGUGGGAACCUGCCUCGAAGUUCGGAAUAACCGCGGGAAACUGCGGCUAAUACCGGAUGUGGCCUGAGGGUCAAAGGCGCAAGUCGCUUCGAGAGGGGCCCGCGUCCGAUUAGCUAGUUGGUGGGGUAACGGCCUACCAAGGCGACGAUCGGUAGCUGGUCUGAGAGGAUGAUCAGCCACACUGGGACUGAGACACGGCCCAGACUCCUACGGGAGGCAGCAGUGGGGAAUAUUGGACAAUGGGGGAAACCCUGAUCCAGCAAUGCCGCGUGGGUGAUGAAGGCC